Apis cerana (Asiatic honeybee) is the source of this 2394-nucleotide long non-coding RNA. RefSeq lists it as uncharacterized. Lineage: Eukaryota; Metazoa; Arthropoda; Insecta; Hymenoptera; Apidae. The record is from RefSeq and is a predicted model, not a curated record.
UCUAUAGAUCAAAAAAUAUUUAUCGUGAUCAGUUUGAAAGUUGCUUCUAUAGUAAUUAUGAAUAAAAAAAGAAUCUCAUUAAAGUUUAGUUUGCAAAAUAUUAAUUUGUUCGUUCAUCAAAAAAAUGCGUGUCUACAUUAAACAGAAAUGUUCUUGUGCAGAAGCAGCAUCACGUUCAUUGAAACUUGUGAAUAGCUUGCGGGUAGCUCGUGAGGAAUUAUAGAGUUGUUCGUUUACCAAAAGAAUGUUAUGCUACAUCCACACUGUUUUUGCUUCAUUAACUAUAAUAAACUAUGAUGAAUAGCAAUUAUUCUUUCAAAAAAUAAUAGAUUAAAGAUUAGUUAUAGGUUAAAGUGUUUCUAGAUUAUAUACAUUAAAACAUUUCUAUAUUUCUGUGGAUUGUAAUAUUUCUAAUGAAUACUGUUUUUGUUCAUGGAAUGACUAAAUAGCUUGUCAAUUGCUUGUGAACUAUCAAUUAAUUAUUAUCAAUAUAGAUAUUCAGAAAUAUAGCAAAGAAAUAAAAUUAGUCAAUUAUAUGUGAAAAAUGAUUUUAUUUAAAUUGCAUAUUCAAUUUAAAUAUCUUAUUUCAUUAUUAGAGUAUCAUUAUUAUUAUUAUUUCAUAUUUAUUUAUAUUAAAUAAAUUGUAAAAGUGGUUUACCAAGAACUCACUAGAUGGAAUCAUAAACAUUAUUGUGGACGCAGCAUAAGUGACUCGUGUCUGAAUCACAUGCGCGAUAGAAUACAGUCGUAAUGUCGCGAAAAAUUGGUUCUCCCGAUAAUUCGUCCUUAAUUCUAUAUUCACUUGGUAAACCUCAUACGAAUUCAUACGAAGUCAUUAAUAAUAAUUAAGAUAGUUCGACAGACAGAAUAAAUAAUGGCGUAACGUCGAGGUGUGCAAAGGAAAUAUAUGAUCGCCACGGUUGCUGAUUGAAAAUUGAAAUUCAUCCAUGUAAAAUAAUGUCAUUGGCAUAUCGGUAUAAUUUGCGAACACUGAUACUAAACUUGAACGAUGUCAAGAAAUCAUUAUCAAAAUAUAAAGUAAUAUGAAGUAAAAAAAAUAUAAGUAAUUUAAAAAAACUUCUUUCACUUUUUUUUAAAUUUGUCAUUGAAAUAUUACUGGAAAGUUAAUAGUAUGACCAUAUCAUAUUAUAAAUUUAUAAUUAAUAAAUUUAACAAAAAUUCCGUAAAAGAAAAUAAAAAAAUUCUUUUCAUCAUCACAUGAUGUGUUUAUACAUAAUUUUGAAAUUAAAAUACAUACUGUUAAAAAACAUGAAACUGGAGAGAAAAGAUUAAGAAAGAAAGUGAAAACAGAAAACUCACCAGCGAGAGAUAUGUCCCCUGAAAGGAUGUUCCCUGGUCUUACGAGAGGAAAAGGAUAAAGUCAAGUUGUUGGCGGCAGCAAGCCGCGGGCACAGGACUGCGGUCAGCCAAACCACCUGUAACAGAGAAGAAAAAACUCUAAUUUAUCGUCAAUUUAAUGGAAACAUUUAGUGAAAAUAUUUUAAACUUAUUUACAGACAAAAUAUUUGCAUUUAACUUUUGAUUUGUUUGAAUUCGUCGUUAUACAAAUUGUUGCUUAUUUUAAUUUCAUUACCAUCAAAGAUUUAAAGCGAUACGAUUGUCUUUCAAAUAUAUUUUUAUAAUUCUUAUAAUUAUAUCAAAUUAUUUAUUUAUGCUAUAAAUUAUCAAGCAACUUAUAAAUCAAAAAAGAAAGCAACUAAGCUCUUUCUCUUGUAACACUUUGAUAAAAUUGAAUUAAACUGUUUAAUAUGUAUAACGAAUCAAGUAUGGAUUCGGCUUCUAAUUCUUCAAGAUAAGAUAUAUAUAUAUGUAUAUUCAUAUAUUUCGCAAUUAAAGUCACGGCGAAAAGAGAAAGAAAGAGAGAAAAGAAGGGCGAAUGGAGCAAAGCUGAAUGCCGAGAGGCCUGUUUUGCAUAAAAAUUAUAAGUCGAAUUAAUGUUUUCACCUCCAUGGCUUGUGUGCACCGCAUUUCGUGUCCGAUGCGUGACUAACACAGUGGUUUAUUGCAUGUUAAUACGAAUCCGGUACCACCAGUAUUUUUUCAUGAGAUAAUCUUGACUCACCCUUAUAAACAGGAUAUGUAUAUUGAAAGAACGAAGGAUUUUAGGAAAUUUGGUUAAAAAUAAGGAAGAAUUUUAAUAAAUAAUUUUCAAUGAUGAAAUGGAUGAAAAAUAUUGAUUUUUGCUAUAUUUAGAAGAAUAUUUUUUUAAUGUUAUUAUUAAUUAUAUUAUAUGUACAUAAUUUAUUUACGUACAUAUUAUAAGUUGGUAUCUGAAUCAUGAUUUUAAUUAAUUUAAAUUAAAUUAAAUAAAAAAAAAACGGAAUUUAUAAAGAAAAAUGAAUAACACGACGAAUAAAUGAAUAUAAAAAAAUA